UACGGAGGGUGCGAGCGUUGUCCGGAAUCACUGGGCGUAAAGGGCGCGUAGGCGGCGCGGGGAGUCAACGGUGAAAGCUCGGCGCUCAACGCCGAGUCGGCCGUCGAUACUCCCCGUGCUCGAGCACUGUAGAGGCAGGUGGAAUUCCGGGUGUAGCGGUGGAAUGCGUAGAGAUCCGGAAGAACACCGGUGGCGAAGGCGGCCUG
RNAcentral lists this ribosomal RNA (206 nucleotides) under uncultured bacterium. RNAcentral's name for it is "partial 16S ribosomal RNA". It matches the Rfam family "Bacterial small subunit ribosomal RNA", at positions 524 to 728 of the family's 1533-position model. The record is from RNAcentral.